RNAcentral lists this ribosomal RNA (898 nucleotides) under uncultured bacterium. Its description in RNAcentral is "bacterial SSU rRNA". It matches the Rfam family "Bacterial small subunit ribosomal RNA", at positions 8 to 916 of the family's 1533-position model. The record is from RNAcentral.
AGAGUUUGAUCCUGGCUCAGGAUGAACGCUGGCGGCGUGCUAAUACAUGCAAGUCGAACGAGGUGCUUUUGUAGCAAUACGAGAGUAUCCUAGUGGCGAACGGGUGAGUAACGCGUUGGUGACCUACCCCAAAGUGUGGGAUAACAGUCCGAAAGGAUUGCUAAUACCGCAUGUGGUCUUCGGAUUUAGAAACUGAUGACUAAAGGAGCAAUUCGCUUUGGGAGGGACCUGCGUCCCAUCAGCUAGUUGGUGAGGUAAUGGCUCACCAAGGCUACGACGGGUAGGGGACCUGAGAGGGUGGCCCCCCACAAUGGAACUGAAACACGGUCCAUACACCUACGGGUGGCAGCAGUAGGGAAUAUUGCACAAUGGGCGAAAGCCUGAUGCAGCAACGCCGCGUGUGCGAUGAAGGCCUUCGGGUCGUAAAGCACUUUUCUGAGAGAUGAGAAAGGACAGUAUCUCAGGAAUAAGUCUCGGCUAACUACGUGCCAGCAGCCGCGGUAAAACGUAGGAGGCGAGCGUUAUCCGGAUUCACUGGGCGUAAAGCGCGUGCAGGUGGCUCGGUAAGUUGGGCGUGAAAUCUCCCGGCUCAACUGGGAGAGGUCGUUCAAUACUACCGAGCUAGAGAGCAGAAGAGGAAGAUGGAAUUCCCGGUGUAGUGGUGAAAUGCGUAGAUAUCGGGAGGAACACCAGUGGCGAAGGCGAUCUUCUGGUCUGUUUCUGACACUCAGACGCGACAGCUAGGGUAGUAAACGGGAUUAGAGACCCCGGUAAUCCUAGCCGUAAACGAUGUGAACUUGGCGUUGGUGGGUUAAACUCCAUCAGUGCCGAAGCAAACGCGAUAAGUUCACCGCCUGGGGACUACGGCCGCAAGGUUAAAACUCAAAGGAAUUGACGA